Molecule: non-coding RNA, 66 nt
Filed under: Pyrinomonas methylaliphatogenes
Lineage: Bacteria; Pseudomonadati; Acidobacteriota; Blastocatellia; Blastocatellales; Pyrinomonadaceae
Description: Fluoride sequence
Rfam family: Fluoride riboswitch aptamer (crcB RNA motif)
Source: Rfam by way of RNAcentral
AAAGUUCAGGGUGAUGGAGUCCACCAUCAACCACUGCGAUCGGCAGUUGAUGACUCCUAUUUCGAA